Molecule: long non-coding RNA, 850 nt
Organism: Bos taurus (domestic cattle)
Lineage: Eukaryota; Metazoa; Chordata; Mammalia; Artiodactyla; Bovidae
Source: Ensembl
GCCGCCCCAGCCAGUCGCAGUGUACGGGCUUCUCAUUGCAGUGGCUUCUCUUGCUGAGGAGCACAGGCUCUAGAGCACUCGGGCUUUAGUAGUUGUAACACAUGGGCUCAGUAGUUGCAGUUCCUGGGUUCUAGAGCACAGGCUCAACAGUUGUGGUGCCCAGGCUUGAUUGCCCCAUGGCAUGUGGGAUCUUCCCAGAUCAAGGAUGGAAUCCAUGUCUCCUGCAUUGGCACGUGGCUUCUUUACCACUGAACCACCAGGGAAGCCCUAAAGCUUUCUGAUUGGCGCAAACCACCCAGCAGGAGGACGCUUACUGGAGCCUGACUAGAAAGAGUAACAAUUUUAUGUGCUCAGGUGAUGCUGAAGAUGCAUGUCUGUGGACCACACUGCAGGUUUGACAGAAGUGUUAUGUGAGACACUGAUGUGAAGAUUCUGCCUCCCAGGAGCAUUUUGGUCCCUAGUAUCGAGCACUACCCUCCUCCCACCAUCCUCUCUUAAAAUUCAAACAUUCCUUGAAAGGUUAACAAAUUCAUUGUGAACAGGGAAUUGGUGACCAUUUCAAAAUGCACAUCCUAAGAGCAAUGAAACACAGAAAAAGAAACCAAAAUGGGAAGGGACACAGGAGAGGCAAAAGUUGUUGAAGAUGAAAGUGAUCCAGCAAGAGACUAACGUGACAGGAUAAGUCUUCAAGAAAGAUAUCUGCAAAGAAGAUGUCUGUCCCCCCUUAUCACAGGCACAGGAGGUGCCCCAUUAUGUGACCACUGGACCCAGCUUUUCUACAAUGAGACUACCUGAAUGUCUUACUGGUGACCACUUAAGCUCUUCUGAUUCGUGCUGGCUAAUUUUAUAG